Molecule: unclassified non-coding RNA, 343 nt
Filed under: soil metagenome
Description: partial contains 5.8S ribosomal RNA, internal transcribed spacer 2, and large subunit ribosomal RNA
Rfam family: 5.8S ribosomal RNA (bases 1-120)
Source: RNAcentral
GAUGAAGAACGUAGCGAAAUGCGAUAAGUAAUGUGAAUUGCAGAAUUCAGUGAAUCAUCGAAUCUUUGAACGCACAUUGCGCCCGCCAGUAUUCUGGCGGGCAUGCCUGUUCGAGCGUCAUUUCAACCCUCAGGCCCCGCCUGGCGUUGGGGAUCGGCGCGGCCCUCUCCGGGCUGCCGGCCCCGAAAACUAGUGGCGGUCUCGCUGUAGUCCUCCUCUGCGCAGUAGCAACGCUCGCACUGGAACUCGGCGCGGCCACGCCGUAAAACACCCCACUUCUGAAAGUUGACCUCGGAUCAGGUAGGAAUACCCGCUGAACUUAAGCAUAUCAAUAAGCGGAGGA